UUAUGUGUUGCAGUUUCUUGUUUCGCUUCUUCCUUCCCCAAACAUUCCAUCCACCUGCGUCCUGCUAGGGUUUAGCACCGCCUUUUUACUCGUCGAUGUUGCCUGCUUUUCCGUUGCCCCCAAACGGUCGUAGGUCAUCCCACUUUCUACCCGGGGAUUAUCGCCGCUCUUCUUGACAAGCCGCCAACGAGGCUUUGCCAGUUCAAUUAAUUGAGAACAUCUUCACAGAUAACAUUUUACAGAUUGAGGUGUGCAAAAGAUUGGUACAUCUCAAGGCUCCUUAUGUCAGAAGUUAUCUCCACAAAAAUGGUUGGUUUGUCAUCCGCCAAGUUCCCAUACAACCAGUCAUAUCGACCAUUCAAAUGUACGCGUUUGUCAUACAACCAUAUAUUGUAGAAGUAAAAAGAUUUUCUGCAUACUCUCAUUAUUUCCUUGAUAUUCAGAAGGAAAAAAAAAUGUUAAAGAUCACUUCGUCACGAAGGUUGCAGAGCUCACUCCAGAUACAAAAGACUGGACUAUAAGAGUUAUGCUUCUUGAAUUCUUAGCAGAGCGUGUGUCUGGAUGUACUGGAAAACAUUACAAACGGUUUAUCUUUGUUGAUGAUCAGGCGUGUGCGUUUCAUCCGGAUCUUAGCCUUAUAGAUGAUUGCCUGGAGCUUUACAAGUCCUAUGAUCUCUGCACAGAAACCUAGCAGCCCUUCACAAUAAACACUAUGAAAGGUUACAAUACAUGUGUCCAAUUUUUCUUAAAUAGGAGACCAAGCAUCAAUCCUAUCACCGAUUCUCCAAUUAAUGCCAUGGUGGGGAAGCCAACAUUCAUACAAUACUCUGUCACCAAUACCUGGAAGAAAAAAAAAUUAUAUAGGUAAUAUUACUUUUUACAGUAACAAGGGUUGCAAACAACAUGUAUAUUUGGUCUAUGCAUAAUUUUAUAUUUAUAUCCAACAUUUUCAUUUUCCUCAAUGCCUUACUCACUUGACAGAUGUUGUAGGAAUUGUCAUUGACAUGGAAGAGCCCAAAAGAAAGGGGUUUUACUGCCUGCAAGAAAUGAUCAUUGUUUCACAACUCCUUUUUAUUCAAUUCACUUCACUUUAUUUAUUCACAAUAGAAAUGACUAUUUCUUUCUUUUAAUUCUAGAAAAACACAUACAAGAAUUACUAUGUUGAAUGAUGUUUUGUAAAUAUUGAAGGCAAAUUUUUCACUGCACUUAUGGAUAAUUGUCCAAUAAUUGCAGCGCUCAACGUUCGCCCCUUACAUCUUGAUGGAAACUUAAAAAUAUGGCCUACUUGGAUGUUCUUGUUCUGAAAAAAGAUUACUUUAAUGAAAAGUUUUUACGUUUGGGUUUCGUCGAAGCUGGCAAAACUACAACCAUUUCUCAUAUGCUUGCAUCUACAAGGAAUGGAGAAUUUCACUGCAAAGCUUCCUUCCAAAUUACCAUCAAUUCAACAAUGAAGCUGUCAUAUAAAGCAUGUGCAAAAUGCCACACCCCCAUCAUGACACAUGACAAACACAAGUUCAAAUGCUUCUGUUGUGCAAACAUUCAAGUUUGCGAAAUCAGGUUACCUACUCUUUUGUAUGUGCUAAUUACAUAGUGUUCAAAAGUCCAUUUCUCAUUAUAUGUAUUUUCUGUAUGUACCUCUUGCGUGGGGAACUGCGAGACUCAACAAAAUUUGUUAAAUGCGUUGCUUAUGAUGAACUUUCAUCCCAAUUACUCAACAUUGACACAAGUGAGAUAGCUCACCAAUCUAAUAAGGAUAUCAUUGCAAUAUGUCAUCUGCGAAACAUGUCUUUUUCGUGGACAUUGAAGUUUCAAACAUUUCAACGAAGAAAGUCCAACAUCUACAGGUGUUCAAAGCCCGGCGAAGAUAUCCAAAUCUAGAGGACAAAAAGUAAUCACCACAUCUGCUCACAACCCCACCAGUAAUAUGCAAUAGCAAGAUAAAAUAAGAAAAAAUGCAAAAAAAUAAAUAUUAUUAUAAUGUUAGAUUCCUCGAUGUUUUCCUUCUACAUUUUUUUUUUUUUUUGGUUGCUAAAAAUGUGUGAAACCUUGGUGUGUUUUGGAUUGCUCCAACUACAACUUUCAUAUUAAGGUGAUAUACUUGUCAAAAACUAUAUUUUGUUGCAUUGCUUCAAGAAAUAUUAUGCUUA
This is a long non-coding RNA of Andrographis paniculata, 2147 nucleotides long. RefSeq lists it as uncharacterized. The transcript has 9 exons. The record is from RefSeq and is a predicted model, not a curated record. Lineage: Eukaryota; Viridiplantae; Streptophyta; Magnoliopsida; Lamiales; Acanthaceae.